RNAcentral lists this ribosomal RNA (460 nucleotides) under uncultured bacterium. RNAcentral's name for it is "partial 16S ribosomal RNA". It matches the Rfam family "Bacterial small subunit ribosomal RNA", at positions 338 to 795 of the family's 1533-position model. The record is from RNAcentral.
CCUACGGGCGGCAGCAGUGAGGAAUAUUGGUCAAUGGGCGCGAGUCUGAACCAGCCAAGUAGCGUGAAGGAUGACUGCCCUAUGGGUUGUAAACUUCUUUUAUAAAGGAAUAAAACGAGGCACGUGUGCCUUUUUGUAUGUACUUUAUGAAUAAGGAUCGUCUAACUCCGUGCCAGCAGCCGCGGUAAUACGGAGGAUCCGAGCGUUAUCCGGAUUUAUUGGGUUUAAAGGGAGCGUAGAUGGGUUGUUAAGUCAGUUGUGAAAGUUUGCGGCUCAACCGUAAAAUUGCAAUUGAUACUGGCAGUCUUGAGUACAGUUGAGGUAGGCGGAAUUCGUGGUGUAGCGGUGAAAUGCUUAGAUAUCACGAAGAACCCCGAUUGCGAAGGCAGCUUACUAAACUGCGACUGACAUUGAUGCUCGAAAGUGUGGGUAUCAAACAGGAUUAGAUACCCCUGUAGUC